AUCACUGUUGUCUGCAAGGCCAUGCAGACGAAUCGGAUGCUUGGAUUAAUCACUGGAGCUCAUUUAUCCAGCUCUGCAUCCGGAGGGAAACGUCUAAAAUGUUCAGUUGACAAAGGAUCACCAUGACGACGAGACUAAAUUAGAUUAGACUGGAAGAGAAAACUCACCUGUUAUUACCUGGGAAAAUCAUUACAAGUAAAUUAAGAAGCCUGUUUGCUAUGAGUGAACGGGGAUCCUCUGAUGAAUAGGGAAUGUUCAUCAUGCAGAAUAAAUUUCCCUUUUUUUAAAUAUAAAUUCUAUAAUCUAAAAAAUUUC
Poecilia latipinna (sailfin molly) is the source of this 315-nucleotide long non-coding RNA. RefSeq lists it as uncharacterized. The record is from RefSeq and is a predicted model, not a curated record. The transcript is spliced from 3 exons. Lineage: Eukaryota; Metazoa; Chordata; Actinopteri; Cyprinodontiformes; Poeciliidae.